AAACGGGGCCAGCCAGGGGGACUCGAGAGCGGCUGCACUUUCCUGUCCCCCGCCGAGGAGAGCGGAGGAGCAGCGGCCCGUGGCCUGGCGAGUUUCCCCGGAGAGGAGCCGGAUUCCGGUGCAGGGACGGAGCGAGGAGUCCGAGGUGCAGGAGGCGGGGGAGGGCAGGAGGAGGAGGAGAGCACGUGCGCCUGGCAGGAUGAGGCCCCGAGCCCAGCCAGAGGCUGCAGGGCGCCCCCCAACCGGGCAGGAAGGGGAAGGGGCGCAGCUGAGGGGCAGGGCAUCUGCAGGAGGGCACAGGGGCAAACAUCUCUGGCUCAGGCUGGCACGGACCCUGCCGGAGACCCUGGGGAGCUGCUCCCUUCAGUCCUGAGCUCAAGGGGCAGAAUGAGGGGUCCAAGGCAGCUGCUGCUUCCCGAUGGAUCAGCUGCGUAGCUGGGACUUUUGCCGCCCCUCUCCCUGUCCCUCAGCAGGGAGCCCAGCGCAUUUCGAGGGUUCUCCUCAGGGCGGACAGGGAAGGGGAGGCAGGGGGGAAAGGAAGAGCAGUGUAGCAGGGAGGUGCCCCUCUCACCCUGCAGCCCCCUGACACCCUUUGCAGGCCACUACUCCCUUCUGGCUUCUCCCCCGCCCUGCAGAGGAAGGGGCUAGCCUUUGAUUGGUGCCAGCAGCAUUGUUUCCCUCUGAUUGGUUGCAGAGUUCUUUUGUUGGUUAUACUUGCGUCUAUACAAAGUGCAUAGCUUUUGCCCCUCCAUAAAGAAAUGGGGAGGAGACAAGAGCUGGAAUAGCUGACCAGAAGGAAAUUUAACCUGGGAACUUCAUGUUGCUCCCCAGCUCCCUGAACCCAGGAAAAGACUCCUCCAGGGAGGCAGGUGAGCAUCACAACUAAACCCCACAUUAUGCUCUCCAGUAGCUAAUCGCUCAGACAGGGCUAUUUUCAUUCAGUUCUUUGUGUUUGGGGGGGGGUUUACCUUCCCUUCUUCCCUUGCAAUCAUGACAAAAAUGAAACCUCCACAGCAAUGCUUUUAGCCCCAGAAGAGGAGCUCCUCUUGGUGUCAAGGAAGGGGUCCAAGGGAAUGAGGAGUGAUAUACUUUAGCUCCCUAUUCUCCCAAAGAAGAGGAAGCACCAGAACAAGAGGAUCAGAAAGUUUUGCGCAGAUCCGAGAGAACAAUCAAGGGUGUACCACUGAAAAGGUUUUCUGAAGAGUUGGCAAAGGCUGCGGUCACAAGCAACUCUGGUGUGGGUUUUGAACCAGCAAUGAAGUGUGCUGAGAGUAGUAGCACAAAACGCUUUAUUUCCUUACCUGAUAUUUGAAGGAAAGCGUGUGUUUGAGUAUUGAAAGUGGUUUGUUCAAAUCUGCCCAAUUAGCAAUGUCAAUUUGUAUCUGUGAGAGAAACGUGUAUGAAGUUUUUUCUAGAAGCUGCUUUUUCGUUUGUGUAUUCACAAUGUGUAUUUUGUGUGAACUACAGAUUGAGGUUUGUGUUUUAACUCUUUCCUAAUAGACACAGAGUGGUUGCAGCGAUUGUAAUGAAUGUGAUAAAAGUGUCUUAGAUUAAGGGGGGAGAGAUACCUGCAGAUAUGUUACCAAGGUUGUAAGCAGAGAACAACUUUUGGAGUGUGUGUGUAAAUUGCAGUUAUAUUAAAGAUUAUUGGAAUGGUCAGAUGAAAUGGGGGAGGAUGAUGAGAUUUCACCCCUCCCAUAUCCAAGAAUCUCCUGAUGAGUCUGGUGAUUUUCCAGAGAGGAGGGGCGGUGUUCUGCUCUCUACUUAUUCUGCUCCAGCACCACAUCAAAGAGUCAGUCAGUCAGUCAGUGUGUUGGAGAGAGAGAGACUGAGUGUUAGAGAUCGUGUGUAUAGAUAAGGUUGCUGCUAAGAGCAGCUGCAGGCACUCAGUGCGGUUCAGCAUUCAUUUAUGCUUAGACCUCAUUAAGCUCUGUAUAUAGUUUUGUAUUAUAGCUGUAGAUAGAAUAAAGAAGAUAUUCUACAGAG
Molecule: non-coding RNA, 1986 nt
Organism: Podarcis lilfordi (Lilford's wall lizard)
Lineage: Eukaryota; Metazoa; Chordata; Lepidosauria; Squamata; Lacertidae
Source: the annotation of a GenBank genome assembly